This 458-nucleotide ribosomal RNA is filed under the name uncultured Acidovorax sp. RNAcentral's name for it is "bacterial SSU rRNA". It matches the Rfam family "Bacterial small subunit ribosomal RNA", at positions 923 to 1382 of the family's 1533-position model. The record is from RNAcentral. Lineage: Bacteria; Pseudomonadati; Pseudomonadota; Betaproteobacteria; Burkholderiales; Comamonadaceae.
GCACAAGCGGUGGAUGAUGUGGUUUAAUUCGAUGCAACGCGAAAACUUACCCACCUUUGACAUGUACGGAACCCUUUAGAGAUAGAGGGGUGCUCGAAAGAGAGCCGUAACACAGGUGCUGCAUGGCUGUCGUCAGCUCGUGUCGUGAGAUGUUGGGUUAAGUCCCGCAACGAGCGCAACCCUUGUCAUUAGUUGCUACAUUCAGUUUGGGCACUCUAAUGAGACUGCCGGUGACAAGCCGGAGGAAGGUGGGGAUGACGUCAAGUCCUCAUGGCCCUUAUAGGUGGGGCUACACACGUCAUACAAUGGCCGGUACAGAGGGUAGCCAACCCGCGAGGGGGAGCCAAUCCCACAAAGCCGGUCGUAGUCCGGAUCGCAGUCUGCAACUCGACUGCGUGAAGUCGGAAUCGCUAGUAAUCGCGGAUCAGCAUGUCGCGGUGAAUACGCUCCCGGGUCUU